UGGGGAAUUUUGGACAAUGGGCGAAAGCCUGAUCCAGCAAUGCCGCGUGUGUGAAGAAGGCCUUCGGGUUGUAAAGCACUUUUGUCCGGAAAGAAAUCCUUGGCUCUAAUACAGUCGGGGGAUGACGGUACCGGAAGAAUAAGCACCGGCUAACUACGUGCCAGCAGCCGCGGUAAUACGUAGGGUGCAAGCGUUAAUCGGAAUUACUGGGCGUAAAGCGUGCGCAGGCGGUUUGCUAAGACCGAUGUGAAAUCCCCGGGCUCGACCUGGGAACUGCAUUGGUGACUGGCAGGCUAGAGUAUGGCAGAGGGGGGUAGAAUUCCACGUGUAGCAGUGAAAUGCGUAGAGAUGUGGAGGAAUACCGAUGGCGAAGGCAGCCCCCUGGGCCAAUACUGACGCUCAUGCACGAAAGCGUGGGGAGCAAACAGGAUUAGAUACCCUGGUAGUCCACGCCCUAAACGAUGUCAACUAGUUGUUGGGGAUUCAUUUCCUUAGUAACGUAGCUAACGCGUGAAGUUGACCGCCUGGGGAGUACGGUCGCAAGAUUAAAACUCAAAUGAAUUGACGGGGUCAUAGCUGUUUCCU
This 585-nucleotide ribosomal RNA is filed under the name uncultured bacterium. Its description in RNAcentral is "partial 16S ribosomal RNA". It matches the Rfam family "Bacterial small subunit ribosomal RNA", at positions 355 to 1375 of the family's 1533-position model. The record is from RNAcentral.